CUCUUAUCAAGAGCAGGUGGAGGGACUAGCCCGAUGACACCCGGCAACCGACAGACCUUAUGCAGCGCAGCAGCGCGAAGUAAGGAACGCACGGUGCUAAUUCUUGCGGAAGCGAUGCGCUUCUGAGAGAUGAGAG
RNAcentral lists this non-coding RNA (136 nucleotides) under Paenibacillus xerothermodurans. Its description in RNAcentral is "Bacillus xerothermodurans SAM-I sequence". It matches the Rfam family "SAM riboswitch aptamer (S box leader)". Rfam says of the family: The SAM riboswitch is found upstream of a number of genes which code for proteins involved in methionine or cysteine biosynthesis in Gram-positive bacteria. The SAM riboswitch acts at the level of transcription termination control. Lineage: Bacteria; Bacillati; Bacillota; Bacilli; Caryophanales; Paenibacillaceae. The record is from Rfam by way of RNAcentral.